CAAUAUCCUUUUGUUGUGAAAAGUCUCUAUUCACUUGAAGACACUCCUUAGGCAUAUGGCCAUUAUCGCAUCUCAUUCUCCGAAGAUAAUCCCACAAAUAUUUAUUGAACACUUACAAUGUGUCAUCCGGUGCUGGGCAACAAGGUGACAAAGAUGCGUGAGAAAAACACAUUAUCAUUUUUAAUGACUGAGAAUAUUAUAUGGUAGAUAUGUCAUAAUUUAUUCUCUUAGCCUCUUCCUCUUGGAUAUUUAGAUUAUUUCCACAUUUUUCCCUGUAACAAAUACAAUGCGAUAAAUCGACAUCCUUCCAACUAAAUCUGUGCCCACAUAGAGGAUAAUUUCCUUACUUUAAAUUCUGAAAGUAGGCAAAGAAUAUGUAAUAUUUUAAUGCUUUGAUGUUUAUUACCAAAUUGCUCUCCUGUUGUCUUAACUUUGUUUCUUAUGAUUAAACUCUGCUAUAUUUUUGUUUGUACAAAUAAGGCAGGCCUUCAAUUCAGUAAGUAAUCACAACUAAGUUAGUGUUAUUUUGAGUUUUAAUAACUGUAUCCUUGAUUCAGAGCAUUUCCAUAUCAUUUACUUUAUCUUUCCAACUCCCAGCCCCCACAACGCCAAAAAAGGACUAGUAUGAUAUUUAUUUCAUUUUCUCUGUAGGAGAAAUCAAGGCACGUGGAAGCUACGUAACUACCUAAGUUUCCACAUAUACUGGCACUUGUUCAGAGGAACUCUGUGUAACUAAUGUAAUUUUAGUUGCAGUGGACGUCGUAAUUGACUCAGUUGGUCAGUCUAGCUACUCAUAGUAAUUGGCUGCCCUUGACCAUGAUUGGUUCUCAAAUUGCUGGCCCACGGUGGACUGGGCCAGUGAGAUUCAAAGAGAAGUUUCCUGGGGCUUCUGGGUAAAAAGCUUUCUCAAUAUUUGAGAGAGAGACCAGGAAGCCUGUAGCCUCAAUUGGCAGUGACAACUAUCCUACAGUUGUAAGGAGAAUGAGCCCUAUGACAAAGCUGAGUGGAGAGUCAGAGAAAAAUGGAGUCUAUGGUGACAUCAUUAGCACUUGGGCCUAUCCUGAAGCUUACCUUGCUAACAGAUUCUCUGUUAUAUCAACAAAUCCAGGUCUCUGUUCUUUAGGACAGAUUGUUUCUGCAGCUGAAAGAAUCUUAAGUGAUAAAUUGCUUACAUUUAAAUUCAUAAACAUUUAAAUACAGCAAUAAUUUUGGUCAAAUAUUUUCUCUUAGUAUCCUAAUUUCUUUUGGCUUAAUAUUCAAUACAAAUUCUGCGCUUUUAGCAUGGAAAUAAUUUAUGUAGUUUCUUGAAUUAAUGCAGAAUUGCCACUAAGUUUUAGCUAAAACUGCCUUUAUGUGUAUUAUGUCCCGUAGAGAAACAAAGUAAAUACAAGAGUUUCCCUUACUGAAAUGGCAGGGUCUCUAUCACUUACUCUGUGAAAUUGACCUGGGGAUGUUCUCUUCAUAAGUUGACUUAGGUUCUCUAAGAAUCACAUUUAUCAAAAUUUGCUUUUCUUGUUGGUGAAAGAUUUAUAAAACAGCAUCAGCCUCUUCUCUAGAGAAGCCAAGUUUUUAGCAACAUCCUUUAGAUUUCUAAGGAAAAUUGUCAGCUUAAAUUUUGUUGAAGCCAAAUUUUAUCAUUGUAGUCCCCCAUUUGGUUAUGAAAAGUAUUUGAUCCAUGUGUCACUAUGAGAGCAAUUUACUCCUGCAGAUAUGCAAUUUGAGAGUUUAUUUCCAAUAAGGAAGACUUGGUUUGAUGAUGAUAGGAACGUGAUGUUCUCUUUGGAAGGAAAUGCCGAUAUUAUCAGAUAUUCCUCAAAGUAUUUUAUGUACAUUUUCUCAGCCUCAUAGCAACACUAUGAGAUGUGUACUCUUUUUACAAUAAGGAAAUGAGACUGAGCAGCUAAGUAAUUUGCCCCAGGUGACAUAGCUAGUAAGUGUUUGAACAAGAUUUAAACCCAGGCAGUGUCUUGCAUUAGGCCAUGUCCUUACUGCUCUGCCACAAGGACAAGCCCCUGGCUUGAGACUGAAAAGAAUAGCCAGGAACUAUAAGCUUCUAAAAAUGCACAGAAUUCUGAAAAUCAGUGAGAAAAAAAUAUUCUGAGUAAGAAAAGGGGAGGCAUCUAAAGAAAAUAACAGCACAGCAAGCACUCCUGUGAGCUCAGAGUUAACAGGUGCACACGAACACAGCAACAGCUGCCCUGGUGGGAAUAGCCUCACAGAGUUAAACCCAGAAAUGCCAAGUCUUAUGAAAAAUUCCAAAAUCAACCAUUUAAAAGAUUUUAAAUGAUUUCCAGAGGUGGAGCCAUAAUAAUGAUGAUAGCUAACUCAGAGACUUUUCUACAUGGUUUCCCAACAUUGUUUUAUCUCAUCCUUAACAGCAAUCCUGUGAAGUUGACUGAUGAAGAAACUGAGGUUCUAAAUGGUCAACUAACUGACCAAGGGUCUCACAGUUUAUAAAUGGGGAAGCCAGCAUAUGAACCCAGGUGGUCCAACUUCAGAACCUGCAUUCCAAGGAUGUGCUGCAUCAAGGAAGGAAUAAGCCCAGUGCUCAGGAUGUUGGGAUGCUCCACAAAGGCAAGCAGAGUAGUAAAGAGGCCCCAUAAUAUAGUGGGAAAAACAGGAGCUCUGAAGUCAGAAGACCUGUGUUUAAGACCUGCGUCUUACAAGCUAUAUUAGUUGGCAGUUGUCCUUAACCUGUCUGAACCCCGUCUGUAUAAUGGGGUAAUUAUACCUGCCCUAGCCACCUCGCCAGGUUGUUGUGAAGAUCAAAUGGGGCUGUGUGUGUGAAAGUACAUUAUAAACCUUAAAGCCCCUUAUAAAUAUUGCCCCAUAUAAAUACGUUAUUGUACCAUCAUGAGAGGAAUAUGGCAUAAUAUAAAGAGCAUACAAAAGCUUUGUCUAGUCCGUGGGCAGAUGACCCCCAAAGUUUGUUUUCAGCUGCAAGCAGAGAUCUUGUAUGCAAAGCAGGGUUUUGAAAAACAACAACAUUGAAGAGUAUCAGUUUGAAUGUUGAUAAGUGUUUUAUAAAUAGCUGCAUAAUUAGCAUGUACUUACUGCAAAAAGUAUACAUAAUAUUUUAUUCCCUGUUGUAGGCUGUAAUGAAGCUGCUGCCUCUACAUCCUAGGAGGUUUUCACUUACUUUCCCCGUGAUAAUUUUAAUACGUGGAACCAUUAUUAGCUGAAUUAAGAAUAAGUAAAUGAGCAGUAAAAAAAAUACAGAAAAAUUACAGGUGCCUGUGGUGAGUAAGAUAAUAACUAGGUAAAAAUAUAUGAAAUAAUUACAGUGUUUGAACGGCAGAGCCGGCGUGAGGAAAAUGACUCAAUGGAAUAUGAAGCUUGCUGUUGGCAGGGUAGGAAUAACUGUAGCCUGCGCUGUGGCCUUCACCUCUUUGGAGUCUCAGCCCUAAUAGCUCACUGAGUACAGAUCCAUCUGUCCUCAGCUGCAUCUAUAUGACGCCAAAGGAGCUGAUGCAAUUCAAUGGAGAUUAGUCACUCUGAGAGUCUGUGGUCCUAAAGAUUAAAUACCCAAUAACUGAAAGAUUCUGUUUGAAAGAUGUCCCAGAUGUUUUGGUAUUUGUGUAGACUUAGUCACGCCAGUAACAUUGAAUAUGAACUUAUUUAGAAUGUAUCUAUGAUCUGUAUUUGACAUCCCGACAAAAUGGAAUUUUCGGUAAUUUAGAUAAAGGGUUUUAAAAAGCUGUGAUAUUUUUUAUUUUAUUUUAUUUUUUUAGAAAAUUGUAUUAUAUAGCACUCCAAACAGUGUGGUCAGCAAAUAUUUGAGGCUUUUUCUGUUUCCAUGUCCUUGAAUAGAAAAUGUGGAGAUCCACAAUGAGUUUAAGACAUGGUUCCUGCUGUUCAGGAUUCUGAUUUAAUGCUCCUGGAUAGUGCAAUAAGACAAAUUUUAUUACCAUAACAAGAGAAACUUCCAGUUAGGAUUUGAACAGUCAGUAGAUUUAAGAAUGUUUGGUUAGUAAUGGUGAGCCACUGCUUUCUAAAUUGACAGGUGUUGGAAAGAGAACUGGUUGAAACUAUAACAGAGAGGAUCUAAUUCAGACAUUAGAAAUUCUAUGCCUUCGUGACUAUCAGAUUGUCAAGGCUGCAACAGCUAACUCUUGAUUUUCUGUAUGUGCUUUGUCUUUGAGAAUUUAGGGGGAUCAAUUUCUACAUCUCAGAUGGAUUUUUCUGUUAUCCAACCUAACUCUGCUAUGCAAUAUGUGUUAGCAUAAAGGAAUAUUAGUGUCAGAUAAAACACAGCAGCAUACAGGUAAACAGAGUAUUGGGGGAAAUGAGAACUGAGUUCUAGUCUCAAGAAUUCCAUUGAUAAAUUUGGAAACAUCAUUUAUCUCAUUCUACUUCAGUUUCCUUACCUCUAAAAUGGUGGAGUUGAGAUAGAAUCAAAGGACUUCUGCAAUUCACAGAUUCUAUGAUUCUGUGAGUCAUCUGAAAUCAACUCAAUGUGUCAGUGAUGAGUUUGGCCACUUCGACUAUGAUGGCCUUCUUACGUGUGUUUAAAGUAACAACUCAGUGAAUAACUCUCGAUUCUCUUACAGACUUUUAACUAGCACUUCAUGAAAUACCAGAACCAUGUUAUCUUUCUGUGUCUCUUUUCCCCGUGAAUUCAAACAGCCAUAUUGCUUCUUACCUGAACCCGACAGUCCUGAUGUCAGGAGUUGUGGCCUUAUUCAAUAGAAGUAUUUCCUGAUCAUUUGACAAAAUUAUUGAAUUACUAUAUGUUUGAUGUCCUCUACUGAUGUACUGUUAACAUAGACACUGGCCAAGUAUAUACCUCAGAGAGUGUUCUUCAGAUGUUAAAAGUAUCUGAUGUGUGUGGUACGCAUUGAUAAUCCUUUCCAAAUUGUUAUUUGUCCUGGAGAAGAGUUACAUUUUUAAUCCACAUAGGAAUUUCACCAUCAAAUGGUUAAUACAUUAUUUCCGUUUUAACCAGAGAAGGUAAUGGUUUCUGCAACCUUCCUAAGGUGUUUGAAUUUAUGAACAUACUAUAUUUGAAAUGCUGGUUUUCGUAGGUUGCAUUUUUGACAUCCUAUUGAGACAAGGAACACAGUGGGAUGCUCUUUAUUCUUUGGCUACUGUCUGAAGGGAGUAUAGUUUUUCCCUCUCCGUAACUUUUUUGUAGGAGUUAAAUAAAAUCCAAAAAAAUCACAUGAGUCUUCUAAAACCCUGGGGAGAUUGUUAGGGCAAUAAGUUGAAGCCCUGGCACCUCACCUGUAACCAUUUCAGGUACAAUCAAUUACAUAUAACAUUCUUCUCUGUGUCCCUUAAGAAUCUGAUUCAACACACUGGUCAGGAACACAAAAGCAAACAAACCUUCAAGGGGAAAGUCAAGACUUUGUAAAACAAAUCUGUGCUUCCUUUUGUUUUUCCAGAGGCAAAAAUACUUCACUUUCGUGAGAACAGGGAGAAAGCUUCUUCCUAGUCCCUCUGGAUUCCAUCAGUGCUAGCUCCCAGGAAGCUGUGGAGUUACUCUUGUAGAGCUGAGGGUGCUCAGCCCUCGUUUAGGUAUUCAACACACUGAGUCAGCUCUAGGAAACUUGGAACUUUAGCCAAAAAAAAAAAAAA
This is a non-coding RNA of Equus caballus (horse), 5577 nucleotides long. The record is from RefSeq and is a predicted model, not a curated record. Lineage: Eukaryota; Metazoa; Chordata; Mammalia; Perissodactyla; Equidae.